Molecule: transfer RNA, 71 nt
Filed under: Sulfurimicrobium sp.
Lineage: Bacteria; Pseudomonadati; Pseudomonadota; Betaproteobacteria; Nitrosomonadales; Sulfuricellaceae
Description: tRNA-Cys
Rfam family: tRNA
About the family: Transfer RNA (tRNA) molecules are approximately 80 nucleotides in length. Their secondary structure includes four short double-helical elements and three loops (D, anti-codon, and T loops).
Source: RNAcentral
GGCGGGGUGGCAGAGAGUUUAUGCGGCCUGCAAAGCCGUUCACGCUGGUUAAAAUCCAGCCCCUGCCUCCA